UAGUUCCAGGUGGAAUCCUCACCUGUUUCCUGUCGGUUAAUUAACGUUAAUCAAUACGUCACCACAAUCACCGAACGGUUCUCUGCGCAUCGUGACAAGUGGCGUUUUCGCUCAUGUUUCCUUCGUCGGGUCUUUUUGCUGUUAUAAGUUGUCCUUUCACAAAAAGUGGGCUUUGUGAGCGGCCUCACUGUUUGUACAAACAUGCGGAAGAUUUGCGGACGUUUGGAGCCUCGAAUAAAUCAUCGAUAGUUAACGCCGCAGCAGUGCAAAAUGGCUAUGCAGUGAACGAUGAAACCAAAGAUGACUGCUUCCAGGAGUUAGAGCGAAUCAACAAGGAGAUUGAAACUGUAAGGCACGAGGUGGAGCAGGAGCAAAGGCGACUGUCACACUACCAGACUGUACAGGCAGACAGCGUAAACACUGCGCCUGAUUUUACCCUCUCCGAGUCUGAGACUAUUGGUAAACAGGUACACAGAGGUCCUCCUGGGCUGUCUUCACAAGUAGGCUUUACUAAAACGUACCCCCGAGAAGGGAAAUAUGUGAUUGACAACUCAAAACCAAGGACUGAUUUGGAGUAUGAUCCUCUGUCCAACUUUUCUGCUGGCUUUCGGUCUUACAGCUCAUCAGGUAAAGAGCAAAAAGUGAGAAAGAAACAAGGUUUGAAAAGAACAAGCAAUCCUGUGCCAGUUGACGAUGACUUUAAUGAUGCCGGUGAGCUGAUUAUUGAUAUUCCUUCCUCGCCUAACAAAAAGAGAGCGAGAGCUAAGAAACCUGUUGAUUCUGUUGUUGGGAAAUCCCUCCAGGAUAAUGUGGAGGAGGUUAAAACAUCUCCACCUGCAUCAACAAUAGAAGAAAAUAGAGUUCAUAGUAGCUGCAGUGCUGAAAGUCCGCUUAACCUUAAUGAGAACAAAGAAUGUGACAAUAAACCAGUUGAUAGGAGUGUACUUGAGUUAAGCGGAUGUUUUGAAGAGCUGCAAAGUAAAAGCCAGAAAAUUAUUUGCAUUCAGGCUGCUGAAACAAUAGUGAAGUUAAGUCCUGAACCGGCAAAUCCUCCUGCCACCACAGAGCAGCAAAAUCUAAACCGGAACAAUCUUGUAGUGGAAAAGGAAGAAAGCACUUUUCACGUUGAGUUGCCUCAGUGUGAGUUGCCUGUAAGUGUUAAGAAAAUGAAUCCAAUGCAGCAGCAGCAUACUUUUCCAUCAAAGAAUUCCAUUUUUUAUCAAGCUCCGGUUGCUAACUUGGCCUCACCAUGCAGACAACACACCAAGCAAGCCCAGGCAGCUCAGAACAGCACAAGUAAUCAGUUGUCUUCCACCAAAUGUGUACCAUUAGUGCUGCCACACAGCCAGAAAACGUCAAGCAAAAUGCCAGGACAGAUGCAGGGUGAAGCUGCUGCAGCUGAAAGCUACCUGCAGCCAGCAGAACAAGGUUCAGACAGCAGCCCAGCUCUGGCUCAAAACAAUACGACCGCAUCAAGUUUGCCAAAUGGAGCCAAAUCAACUAAACGGCUCUUUGUGACCGAAGACACGAAGGAGGUUAUAGUCAUUAGUUCCAGCUCUGGUGAUGAAGAUGAGCUGAACUAUUCAGACAUCGAGCUGUCUGACAGUGACCCGAUGGAGGAAUGCUACAGGAUCUUCAUGGAGGCAAACAACGAAGUGAACGGAAAUGAAGAGCAGCCGGACACGUCUGUUGGAGCUAUGGAUGUGGAGAAGCCAGAGUUAAAUGUCAAACCUCAGGCAACGGCAGGAAAGAAGAGGAUCGCUCAUGAAGCCAAACAUACAGAGCCAGCAGCUAAGAGCAGACCUCAGCCCCAGGUGCUGGUUCCCCUACGUGGGCCUGUCGUGUCAGGAUUUCCCUCCCAGCCUUCAACUACCUCCAAGAUCCAGCAAGUCCAGCAGAGAGCCUCCGUGCUGGCUGCUUCAGUUAAAGGUGGUCAGGCUUUUGUUUCCGCCACCUGUCAGAAGAAGCCAGAGAUCCAGAGUUCACCUGUUCCUUCAACUCAAACCCCUGAAAACCUGCAGCCUGCUGUUCUUCAGCAAACUUACCAAAACUACAUUUCUUUUGGGACUGCCGUGAUCGGGGUGGGUGACAACCUGCACCUGAUCCUCCCAGACGGCUCGUUCCCUCUGCCCGUCACUUCCAGCACCAGCCAAGUGACUUCAGUGCUCACCCCGAUCGGUAAAGUGCACACGAGCACUGUCGCUGUGAGACAAAUGUACCAUCCACCUUCAGUCACCUCUGUGCAAAGAUACCGCACCACAGCACCUGUGCUCAUUCCUGCACCGGCACGUAAACCAUUACCGAGCGCUGCCGGGGCAGCAGCUGCUUCCACUGCUCCUCAACCUCCUGUCCACACAGCAUUUAAGCCAGUGCCUACAAAACGUAAAUUGAAGCAGCAGUAUGAGGCCAAAGACAAAGUGUCCCAUCAGACCCGCCAGCAUUAUGUCAACAUGUUUACUGAAGAGUUCCUCAAGUCCACAGCCAAUGUUAAUGAUGCCUUUGAAAAGGCACUUGCUGAAGAGAAGGCUGUGUAUAAUCGCAGCGUGAACCAACUGAAGUAUCUGAGUGUAGCCGUGAAUGCACUGAAGAGGCUAAAGAACCAAAGCGUUGUUGCUGCUAAAGAUGAAAAUAAAGUCAACAGCCAAAGAUCCAAAGGCAACAUUCCUCUUAAUCUGAAGAAGUUUAAAGGAAAUGCAGAUGACAUGGCAUUGUAUGAGUGUUUGAUGGAGUACAUUUUGAAUGAAGAAAAACUGGUCGAGAGCAACUUUCCUGUCCAGCACCCAGAGAAACCUGGUGGUGCCGUUCUUUUUGUUGACAAUAAGAAAGUCAAUACAGACCCCCUCAAGAGGAUCUGCUGUCGAUGUGGUGCUACGUACUCAGUGAACCAGUCAGGUAAACACAUCCGUAAGGAGGAGUGUAAUUAUCACUAUGGGAAAGGAGUUACGAAAAGAGUGCCCGGUGGGAUGGAGACUCGCUACAGCUGCUGUGAGGGAGUCAUGGGAGCACCUGGAUGUCAGGUGUUUAAGUUACAUGUUCACGACGCCCUCAGCUUGGAUGGGUUUGUGUCGACUGUCCCCAGACAUCCCUCAGAUACCAGCUGUCCUGGGGUCUACUCCUUGGAUUGUGAAAUGUGUUAUACCAUUCAUGGUUUGGAGCUAUCCAGAGUGACUGUGGUCAAUUCUAACCUGCAAGUAGUCUAUGACACCUUCGUCAGGCCUGAUAAUGAAGUCAUCGACUAUAACACCAGGUUUUCAGGCAUCAGUGAAGAAGAUGUGAAGGGUCACCACACCUCCCUCAAAGAGGUGCAGGAGACCCUACUGAGCUUCAUCAAUGCUGAUACAAUUCUGAUUGGACAUGGCCCGGAAACUAACUUCUGUACCCUGAAGAUUAAUUUUCACUCUCCCAAAGAGGCUCCCCCUAGUAAUAAGAGCUCAAGAUGUCUUCCUCUUUACUGUAGCUGCUCCAUGGGACGGUGGUGGACACAUCAGUGGUCUUCCCCCACCGUCUGGGUCCUCCUCACAAGCUGACCCUCAACAAACUCACUACUGAAUACCUCAGGAGGAUCAUCCAGGAGAGUGUUUGUGGCCACGACCCUGCAGAAGACGCUGCUGCUUGCAUGGAGCUCAUGCUAUGGAAAGCCAAAGAAGAUGGAAAACUGAAAAAAUAAUGGAAAUAAAACAUGAUAAUCACCACACUGUUAUACAUGAAGAAGAAAAAACAGAUGUAAUGCAAAUUUGAAUGUCAUGUCUGUUUGUGGUCUGAUGACAUGGGAGGGCUGUUACUUUUUAGUUUAGUUACAUCACUAAAUUUAUGUUCAUGGUAUUUUUUGUAUGUUAAAUUUUGAUUUAUGGCCCAUGUCUCUGCCUGUAUAAAUAUCUGUAAAAUCUUUAUGGGGUGUGGUGUCAUCAGUAUUAUCCAAGUAAAGGUGCAUAAUGAAAUCCC
Molecule: RNA transcript, 3942 nt
Organism: Centropristis striata (black sea bass)
Lineage: Eukaryota; Metazoa; Chordata; Actinopteri; Perciformes; Serranidae
Exons: 16
Source: RefSeq, a predicted model, not a curated record